ACUGGGCGUUGACCAAUCAUAUUGAGUGGUUCCCAUGAUUAAUCUGACACUCUGCUACCCAACACUGGAGACUUUCUUCAGCAAAGAUGGCUGACAAAUAUACUAGGAUUGAAGCAAAUGACCUGAGCCCUAGGACCAUGCCCCAGGACUACCUGACAUGAUGACUCCUUGCUGUCCCCAGUCCACCUGGCCGUGCUGCUGCUCCAGUUUCAACUGUUCUGCCUUAUUAUUAUUCGACCAUGCUGGUCAUUUAUGAACAUUUGAACAUCUUGGCCAUGUUCUGUUAUAAUCUCCACCCGGCACAGCCAGAAGAGGACUGGCCACCAAACUACACUGUUUGUAUUCGGCCAUAUUCCCAGUCACCUGCCAUGGUUAAAUGCGAUGGUUCUCGCUUUCAGUUUUGCACGAAUUCUGCCAUCUAUCCACAGUUUCUGGUUAGAGUAGGUUUUAAUAGUCACAGUGGGUACAACAUCUCCUUUACACUUCCUGAUAAGCUCAGUCACCGUAUCUGUGUAUUCGUCGAUGUUAUUCUUAGAGGCUACCCGGAACAUAUCCCAGUCUGCAUGAUCAAAACAAUCUAAGAAGACAGUUACAUUUACCACAAAAUACUCAAAUUAAUCAUACUCUAAAACAGGGAGCAGAAAGGAGAGCUAGGUUCUUCUUCCAUCGACUUAAGCAGAACUCCCUCUCUCAUGAUCAAUUUGUAACCUAAGAGCUUCAUUCAUUAAAGUGGGAAAUUGGCAAAGCUUUCUUCCCACUGUAAACCCAUAUAGUAGGGAUUCUGAUGUUGACUCUGACAGGGUGUGAUUCCCAGGCUGAUGGCUGACGGUUUCAGGGAUGAUCGGUGUGCUGAUUGGACCUCGGCUCUGUGAGGUGGUGUGAUUGUUGUGUAGCAAUUAUUCCUUUGCCAUUUACCAGAUGGAGCAAUAUCUAUGUAUUCUUGCGCCUAACUGUUGUUACAUUAAUUAAGGAUCUACAGGAUCGGUGUCCCUAUACCGGGAAGGUUGUUGCUAAUGUGACUAGAAUGACGUUGUAAAUAACAGCAAACUUUCCAGGACAUAAACAUGUCUUAUAUGGGCAGAAAGCUUACAUUCUUAUUAAUCUAUCGAUACUGUCCAAUUUACAGUAGCUAUUACAGUGAAAAAAUACCAUGUUAUUGUUUGAGGAGAGUGCACAACAACAAAAAACUUUUAUCACGGCAACUGGUUUGAUACAUUCAUCUCUGAAGGUAAAUAAUGUAGUUACAUUCAGUAAUCUUGCUCUGAUUUGUCUUGGUCCCUGGUCCCAGGGAUAAAAUGUAGCAUAGUUUUGUGUGAUACAAUCCAUUUUUAUAUUCAAAUGUAGGAAAUGGGUUCUACAGUUUGAACCCCUGCUGUCUCUGUAUGGCCUUUCUCUUGCAUUUCAAAGAUGAUAGAACUAUUUUUGUUGUUGUUGAGAAUACAUGUUUUUGGUUUGUAUGAUCUUUUACCAGAUCUAAUGUGUUAUAUUCUCCUACAUUAAUUUCACAUUUCCACAAACUUCAAAGUGUUUCCUUUCAAAUGGUAUCAAUAAUAUGCAUAUCCUUGCUUCAGGUCCUGAGCUACAGGCAGUUAGAUUUGGGUAUGUCAUUUAGGGGCGAAAAUUGAAAAGAAAGGGUCCGAUCCUUAAGAGGUUUUAAACACUACUAUUUUCACAUUUUUUAAAAUUUUUAUAAAGAAAUAAAAGAGGGUUUGGUUGAGAUUCAUUUGUUGGAAUUUGAAUAAAG
Molecule: long non-coding RNA, 1744 nt
Organism: Oncorhynchus tshawytscha (Chinook salmon)
Lineage: Eukaryota; Metazoa; Chordata; Actinopteri; Salmoniformes; Salmonidae
Source: Ensembl